GAUGAACGCUAGCGGCAGGCUUAACACAUGCAAGUCGAGGGGCAGCAUGAUGAAACUUUCGGGUUUCAUUGAUGGCGACCGGCGCAAGGGUGCGUAACGCGUGAGCAACUUGCCCUUAUCAGGGGGAUAACCGGUGGAAACGCCGACUAAUACCCCAUAGCAUCACUUGAAGGCAUCUUUUAGUGAUUAAAGAAUUUCGGAUAAGGAUAGGCUCGCGUGACAUUAGCUAGAUGGCGGGGUAACGGCCCACCUAGUCUACGAUGUCUAGGGGUUCUGAGAGGAAGGUCCCCCCACACUGGAACUGAGACACGGUCCAGACUCCUACGGGAGGCAGCAGUGAGGAAUAUUGGUCAAAUGGUCGGAAGACUGAACCAGCCAAGUAGCGUGAAGGAUGAAGGUUCUAUGGAUUGUAAACUUCUUUGUUGGGAAUAAAUGAUACUACGUGUAGUAUUUUGCAUGUACCUUACGAAUAAGCAUCGGCUAAUUCCGUGCCAGCAG
RNAcentral lists this ribosomal RNA (498 nucleotides) under uncultured bacterium. Its description in RNAcentral is "bacterial SSU rRNA". It matches the Rfam family "Bacterial small subunit ribosomal RNA", at positions 28 to 514 of the family's 1533-position model. The record is from RNAcentral.